ACAAAAUCUACGCGCGAAAAAUUGUGGUUUUGGAGAUUGCUCCGAUGAGAAAUGGGAUGAAUUCAGGGUUCGAAAUUAUCGGCUCACGAAUCCGACAUCCAAGCAAUCAGGUGCAUCUUCAGCUUGCAUUAGCUUUUUGCUCGUGGAGAUUAAAUGAAAUUUACGGGUAAAGCCUAUGAGCACUAUGAUUCAGAAAUGGACCAACUUGAAGGAUGAGGAACCAAAACCGCGUGCCAGCCUCAUGCUAAGUUCAAUCUGAGCCAUUUACUUGUUUCCAUCCAGAGAACAAUUGAGCAGAGAUCAGCAAGGAAUGGAAGGACGUGAAUGAAUGGGUAUAGAGAGAAGAGGUUUAGAUGGAAACAAACCAGUGGCACAGCAUUGCCUCGAGUAUUCGUUCCUAUAUAUUAUAGACUAUAAUGCUAAGUCCUUGGGCGUACUAAGUGCAUAAUGCAUACAUUUAAUUAUACUUUUUUUUACUCAUCAACAAAUUUUCGUAAAUUAUUUUUAUUU
Long non-coding RNA from Cucurbita maxima (winter squash), 510 nucleotides. RefSeq lists it as uncharacterized. The transcript is spliced from 4 exons. The record is from RefSeq and is a predicted model, not a curated record. Lineage: Eukaryota; Viridiplantae; Streptophyta; Magnoliopsida; Cucurbitales; Cucurbitaceae.